Molecule: ribosomal RNA, 408 nt
Filed under: uncultured bacterium
Lineage: Bacteria
Description: bacterial SSU rRNA
Rfam family: Bacterial small subunit ribosomal RNA
Source: RNAcentral
GUGCCAGCCGCCGCGGUAAUACGGAGGGUGCAAGCGUUAUCCGGAUUCAUUGGGUUUAAAGGGUGCGCAGGCGGAUACUUAAGUCAGUGGUGAAAUCCCGGGGCUCAACCCCGGAACUGCCAUUGAUACUGAAUAUCUGGAAUACGGUUGAAGUGGGCGGAAUGUAGCAUGUAGCGGUGAAAUGCAUAGAGAUGCUACAGAACACCGAUCGCGAAGGCAGCUCACUAAGCCGAUAUUGACGCUCAGGCACGAAAGCGUGGGGAGCGAACAGGAUUAGAUACCCUGGUAGUCCACGCCGUAAACGAUGAUAACUCGUUGUUGGCGACACACAGUCAGCGACUAAGCGAAAGCGAUAAGUUAUCCACCUGGGGAUACGAUCGCAAGGUUGAAACUCAAAGGAAUUGACGG